This 246-nucleotide long non-coding RNA is filed under the name Elaeis guineensis (African oil palm). RNAcentral's name for it is "long non-coding RNA (EGUI_LNC001180)". The record is from RNAcentral. Lineage: Eukaryota; Viridiplantae; Streptophyta; Magnoliopsida; Arecales; Arecaceae.
CCCUCUGUAUCUCCCUUUCCCCACCUCCAAUCAUAUUGGCUAUUUGUUUUUUACUAGUGAAGUGUUAACUUAUAAAAUGUUUAAGACAAUGAGGGUUGUGGUGUGUCAUCACACACUUAAAUUGACCACAUGCCUUUAACAUUGAAAACGAUACACAUGACAUUCGCUUGUUGAGAAAAAGAUCAUCCUAAUUUCUAUGGUACAUGACACAAGUUGCUAAUUUAGAGAAAAAAUUCCAUUAGUAGA